RNAcentral lists this long non-coding RNA (1829 nucleotides) under Equus caballus (horse). Its description in RNAcentral is "lncRNA (ENSECAG00000041769.2)". The record is from RNAcentral. Lineage: Eukaryota; Metazoa; Chordata; Mammalia; Perissodactyla; Equidae.
GACAUUAGUCACUCAUCUUCCGAUUAACCAGCUAAUCUAAUUAAGCUUCCUUUCUCGAUCUCUAACUUGUGAUUAAUUGGCUCAGAUCGCAGCGAACAGAGUGAGCCCUUCCUCAGUAUUAGCACUAUUGCGUUCUUUUCCUCCAACCGUUUGCAUCUGAAUAGACCUGACUGGACUCUGCAGGAGACCCCUGGCUGAUUUGCAAGGAAGAACGGGGCAGGGUCAAGAGAGCUCAUGACCUGAUGAUCUGAGGACCCAACCUGAGGAAAUAAGAGGACACUCAAAGGAACAGAUGAGUAAGAGCGCUCAGAACUUACCCAACUUCAAUGGCAAUUCCACUGAGGAGUAACCACAGUGUUGUUUUUUCAUAGAAACACCAAAUUUGGAAAUAAAACCCUGCUGGGUUUAUGUGGCACCUCAAUAUUCCACUGAUUUUUUUUCCAGAGGCCAGUGAGAAGGAGGAACCUUGUUCUUCCAGGCCUGGACAGCCAGCGCGUGACCGCAUUCAGCCCCUCCCACUCUUUGUGUCCCCCUGAUGGAGCUCUGAAUGCUCUGGGCUGGAGACCAUGGGACAGCACCUUUGAGAACCAUGUCACUGCUCUGACACACCUGCUGAGAUUCAGAAGGGUGGGGAGCAGGGGAGAGGCCCACUCUGCCUGUCCCCCAGGUGAUGGGUGAAUGUGCAAUUCCUCCAACACUGGGUGGGAAUGACUAACAGAGGAGUCCAGGCAGCUGCAGGGGGAAUCAGUUUAGCAGCUUUCUGUUGUCGACUCCACGACUUCCACAGUGAUGUCACACUCGGGUACAUCAGUGCUGUCCUACUCCAGCAGCCACGCGGCAGGGAGCCAUGGCCAGCAUGGUGCUGAGGCCAGCGGGAGACGGAGGAGGGAACGGCAUCUCUCCUGGGACUUCCCCUCUCUGGCUUUGCUGAACCCUGAGUGGACUCUCCUGGACCCCGAGUGGACUCUCUUGGACCCUGAGUGGACUCUUCCUGGCUCAUGCCUCAGAGCUCAUGGAUGCAGUCCCCAUGGGGAUCACAUGCCACCUGACAGUGACAAACGCCAGCUGGAUUCUACCACCAUCACCAUUUGGAGAAGAAAUCCAGGGACUGCUCAACCUCUGUAGACCAAGGAGCUAAUUGGGAGAGAAGACUGCAUCAGUCAUUGGUGCAAGGUCAUUGGAGAAGUUUUGUUGAUGGCGCCUUCUGGCCAGUGAACUUUAGCACAUGUUACCCACCUGUCCCCACCUGUUCCUUGAAGCUUCUUAGUGAGACCUGUCAAUGCACUAAGUGACAGUUGAGCCUGUGAGAAGAAAUUCCAGCUUAGAAAUACCAGUGUUUACAAGGAAGGAGAAUGAAUAUAUGUUCAAAAGUACGUCUCUAGCAUUUUGUAGAAUUGUUGCUCUUUUGAAUUUCAUUGGAAUUAAUUCAUGCAGAUGUGUACCUGGGGUUGUGCUUUUCCUGGUUAAAGAAUUCUUUCCCCCCCAUCAAUGGCUGGAGAAGUUGCUCACUGCUUACGACCAAGGGCAAUCCUUCAUUAACCUCUCCUGCACAGAUCAAGAGAGUUAAACUUAGAAUAAAGAACACAGUUUUUGAUCUGACAGGGCUGAGACAUCACAAAGACAGGCACUGAAGCUCAUCAACCCAAGCCCAACUAAAAACAACCUGGAACCCUGCAUGCCCUGCUUGCAUGCUGUUUUUGAGAUUGAAAUGGAAAUUAUUGAGAGUUUAUGCAAUCAACCCAUCCUUGAAUUCCUGAUUAAGACAAAACUGUGAAAUAUCCAGCAGAAGAGAUCUGGGGAGAGGUAAAGAGCUCAGAAUUAGUAGUCAG